RNAcentral lists this RNase P RNA (329 nucleotides) under Anopheles epiroticus. RNAcentral describes it as "nuclear RNase P". It matches the Rfam family "Nuclear RNase P". Rfam says of the family: Ribonuclease P (RNase P) is a ubiquitous endoribonuclease, found in archaea, bacteria and eukarya as well as chloroplasts and mitochondria. Its best characterised activity is the generation of mature 5'-ends of tRNAs by cleaving the 5'-leader elements of precursor-tRNAs. Cellular RNase Ps are ribonucleoproteins. Lineage: Eukaryota; Metazoa; Arthropoda; Insecta; Diptera; Culicidae. The record is from RNAcentral.
CUAGUGGUAAUCUCGCACUUGGAGCACCCGUACGAGUACCUGGUUACUCUGGUUUGUUUGCUUCGGGAAGGUCUGAGAUAAGGCAUGCGAAUAUGCCUCAGCAAGGCAGCUCUUUGAGAAGGGCGUUCGCUACCAGCAAUACAUCAGUUGUGGAUGACGCAGUGUUUUACUCCAUUAUCGGUAGGCUAAAAACCAAUCCGGUGUUGGGUUAGAUACUGAUUGAAACCAGCGGAUUGCCAGCCAUUUAAGUCAAAUAUGCGAGCUACUGGCCUCUCCCUUCUUGCGAGGGGGUGGUUGGUAGAACUCAAUUCAGACUAAUCUAUCACUAG